AAUGUUUAAAUAAAAGUUAGAAAGUGACGAAAGAAUAAGUACGAUAAAAAAUUUGAUAGCCUGCAUACCGACAACCUCCUGGACUGUGUGGAGAAGUUCUAGGGACGCCACGGAUAGCAACAAACAAAACACCGACAUUAAAGCUGAAAAGAUGUAGAUCAAAUCUAAGGUCGGGUACUCGUGAACGUAAUGCUUGACGGCAACGGAUUCGAUGGCGGUAGUGAAGGAACUCCAAACACCCAGUAUAAUUCCUAUGGGGGCAACAUGGCUCUCAAAACGUACACCAAAGCCAAAGCCAAGCAUUACAAGUAAACAACCGCCAAAGGGAAAUAAGCGAGUUUUUUGCUUCAACAAUACAAAUGAAAGGAGAAUUGUAAAGGGUAGCAACAAACCUCUGGAAAUUUGGUAAAAUGAGACAGGUACAAAAGCCAAGCAAUAGGUCUUACUAACGAUGCCAAGAAUCUUGACAAAGAUAAACUUUUUAAGUUGAAUUGCAGAAGCUAAUCUUAGGGUUUGAAAAUGAACGGAGGAGAAUCGCCAAUACAUCUUUACCAUGAGAGAUGUGAAUGCCAUUUGAAACGACAACAUCAGAAGUGGUGCGUUGAUGAUAUUGAGAGCUUGCUUGUUGAGAAUGGUAACUAGGAUAGCGAAAACGAUUUGGGAGGAAACCGCAAAAAAUAUGGUCAGUCGUGAAACAGGAGCAUUUUCCGAGUCGGGCUCUUUUGCAUUGGCCUCGAGAACACUCAUCUCCUCCAACUUCCUGGUUGAUAUACCAUCCUCAAUAUCUUUCGACAAGGGAUCAUCCGACUUGGAAAAAUACAAGGAAGAUUUGCCAGUGGAGUCGGUUUCCAUAGAGUCCAACGCCGUUUGGCUAUCAAUGUGGUCUAAAGGAUCUUCAUCCUUUAAAGGAGAGUAAUGCGCAUUGACGGUUAGCUUGGAACUCAUUUUAGUUAAAUCGUUAUGCUUUUUUAUUGAAGAAAGUAUUAGAGGCGUGAAGAAGAAUUAAAACAAUAAAAUUUCAUAAACAACCAAACAAAAAGAUACUUCUACUCUGCCCAGAAGAGUCGGCUAGAUGACAAGUAUGCAAUGAGGAGCGGCGGCUUAAAAAAAUGAACGACCUUUUGCACCACUUUUCCAACGUGAUUCACGUUAGUACCGAUACAAUACAAAGGGGAGAUAUUAACGAACAAAUAACAAAAGACAGAAGACGCAAACGAAUUUCACCAACACAGUAAUAAGUUACACGUUUGCUUCCAACUGCACAGUAUUAAGAAUACGAUGUGGUAGGAAAAAUGUAAGCCUAGGAAGCACUUGGGAGGCGUUUUUACACGAGAACGCGAAGCUGCUUAUAAGGAGGAUGCAAGUCACAAAAUUGAAGGUAUUUUUUAUAAGGGAAUUAGACGAGACGGCCUUGAGGUGACAGCUUCAAGAAAAGCACAUACGCCUUGAUAAGAGGGGGUUGAGUCUUGUUUGUUAGAAGGGAGAGAAGUAGUAAUAUUGAAUGUCGAUGAGCCAGAGGAAGGGGAGAGAAAAGCGAAAAGGGUGCUGGUGGAAAGGAAGAAAGCAAAGAGGUAGGCACAAUAAAGUGACCAAAUAAUAAAAAAAAGAAAAGAACAAAAAAAAAGUAAGUGAAAUAUGAAGGAACGAAAAAUAAUUAGGAAGAAUAAUUUAAGAA
Molecule: non-coding RNA, 1675 nt
Organism: Schizosaccharomyces pombe (fission yeast)
Lineage: Eukaryota; Fungi; Ascomycota; Schizosaccharomycetes; Schizosaccharomycetales; Schizosaccharomycetaceae
Source: the annotation of a GenBank genome assembly